RNAcentral lists this ribosomal RNA (233 nucleotides) under uncultured bacterium. RNAcentral describes it as "partial 16S ribosomal RNA". It matches the Rfam family "Bacterial small subunit ribosomal RNA", at positions 96 to 334 of the family's 1533-position model. The record is from RNAcentral.
UGGCGGACGGGUGAGUAUGUCUGGGAAACUGCCCGAUGGAGGGGAUAACUACUGGAAACGGUAGCUAAUACCGCAUAACGUCGCAAGACCAAAGAGGGGGACCUUCGGGCCUCUUGCCAUCGGAUGUGCCCAGAUGGGAUUAGCUAGUAGGUGGGGUAACGGCUCACCUAGGCGACGAUCCCUAGCUGGUCUGAGAGGAUGACCAGCCACACUGGAACUGAGACACGGUCCAG